Molecule: long non-coding RNA, 2651 nt
Organism: Bos taurus (domestic cattle)
Lineage: Eukaryota; Metazoa; Chordata; Mammalia; Artiodactyla; Bovidae
Source: Ensembl
GUAAGUUUAAGGUGUGCAGUAUCAUGAUUUGACUUGCAUCUGUGGGACUUACUUUAACGAACCAGCUGCAGACCCAGGGCCUCGCUCGGGCCUCUCCAUGGUGGUGCCUUUCCACAGUUCUCCCUCGAAGCACUGCGAACCCCAUUUGUGGCACAGAAAGCCCCUGACUUCACACUCAGAAACCCACAGGCUGUGUCUCUCUGCUGCUCUGCCUCCCCUGCCCAGCCAGCUAGUGACUCAGCCAGGCAAAGAUACCUAACAGCUGGGCCCACCUCUUGGUGGGUGCUGAGCCAAUAGACACAACCAAGCCAAAAAUCGGGAGGAAGAAGGAUUUAUUCCUCAGAGCAAAUAGGAAGAACCCUGGGGAUCUCUCCCAAAGCAGGGUCUCCCCAAACAGCAAAUUUGGGGACGUUUUAAGCUAAGGGUAGAUGCUGAGGUGUGAGAGGGCUUGAGUAGAGAAUUCAGCACAGAACUGGGGCAAAGGUCGACAGAGUCCAGGCUCAGUGGGUUGAACUCGCAUCCUCUACCUGGUGGGGCCACGGCUCCUGCAGAGCUCGGUCGUGUAUCCUUAUGUGAGCUUUCCCCGGUGGUCCGGUGGAGUCCCCUCCUCCGCUGCAGGGGGAUUGCCUCUGAUCCCCGGUUGGGGAAAUAGCAUCUAACAAGCUGCUUGGUGAGGAAAUGUUGAGUACUUUGCACACAUUAUUUUAUUGGAAUAAGGCGUUGUUCCUUCCAGGAGACGGAAGCUCAGAGAGGUGGAUCGAUUAAGGAGGAGCCAUCUUGUAGGAAGCGUGUCUGUGGUGAUCUUGCAGGAAUAAGCCCCCAGGGGCGGGACCCUGGUGGUCGAUCACGUUUGUAGACUGCAUGAGGCCUGGCCCAGCCCCAGGGACGUGUCCCACACGUAGGGAAUAUCACACGGUGUCUGUCUCUCGGUUUGACUGGCUUCACCCCGUGUGAUAAUCUCCAGGUCCAUCCAUGGUGCUGCAAAUGGCAUUUAUUUCAUCCUUCUUUAUGGCUGAGUCGUAUUCCUCAUCUGGAGAAGGAAAUGGCGACCCACUGCAGUGUUCCUGCCUGGAGAAUCCCGUGGACAGAGGAGCCUGGUGGGCCGCAGUCCAUGGGGUCGCAGAGUGGGACACGACUGAGCAACUAAGGCACACUCUGUGCACGUUAUCCGCGUGUAUUACACCAUGUAUGCUCACCUCUUCUCCAUCUAUCAGUGGCAUUUAGAUCGCUUCCAUGUCUUGGCUUCUACUGCUGUGCACACUGAGGUCAUGUGUCUUUUCGAAUGAGAGCUUUUCCAGAUACAGAGCAUAGGAACUUUUCCCUCUCAUUGUGAAUAAGCCCAGAUAAGCUUCCCCCUCCCAGAGCCAUGCCCUUUGCUAAAGAAUUUUCCUCCCCACUUAGCGCCUGUGAUUUGUCCCCUUCCUCGGGUCUGUGAGGAGCUCUUACAUUCUAGGCCCAAUGCAGGCGUUUUGCAGACACUGCUGGCAUCUGGGCUGGCAGGGUUUGUCGUGGGGGCGGUCCUGUGCAUUGCAAGGCACCGAGCAGCGUCUCUGGGCUCCGCCCGCUGGACGCCAACAGCACCUGCUCUCAGUUACGACGGCCGAACUUGUCUCCAGACUUCGCCAGCUGUUCCCUGAGAGUAAAAUCGCAUCCUCCUCCACUUGAGAACCACCGAGUCACUGGGAAGAAUUGUUUGCAGCUGUGGGAGCAGGAAGGGGGCUGGUGUGGGGCCUCUCCAGGGGGAAGUGACCAGAACCAGAUGCAUCGCUCUGAUCGUCACACUGCAGCUCACUUGCUGGCCAUGUGUUUUGAAUCUAGAGGGGGCCCCAGAGACUGCUUUCCCAUUGUCUUGGAAGUGCUGGCAAAUUCUGAGAAUGACCAGGCUCCUCUGCGCAGUGAAAGGGCAGGCUGGCGGAGCAGCAUCCUUAUCCAGAUGUGGGGGAAAAGCCCACAUUCUGGAGCAGAUGACCUGGCUUUGCACCCUGGCGCCAGUGAGCUGUGUGACGCUGAGCACGCGGCUUUACUCUCUGGGUCUGUUUCUCAGAGUGAAGCUGGGAGACUGAAAAUGCCGUGUGUGUGUGUGUGUGUGUGUGUGUGUGUGUGUCCGUGUGUGUGUGUGUGUGUGUGUGUGUGUCCGUGUGUGUGUGUGUGUCCGUGUGUGUGUCCGUGUGUGUGUGUGUGUGUUUUGCUCUUGCUGUGUUAUUAUGUUAGAAGCCACGCGGACUCCUGUGCAGCCUUCAGUUAAAGAGCACGGGUAACGUUCCCCAGGCCAGCGCCUGGGCCGCUGGUGGUCUCCACUGCCCUUGGUUUACAUGAUUUCACCGAGUCCUCAUCGCAACAUCAUCGUCCCGGUUUAUGGAUGAGAAGACUGAGGCUCCAGGAGGUGGAGUCACUUGCUGAAGAUCCACAUGUGCAGGACCAGCUGACCCAGGGAUGGGGCAGAGGGCCUGAGGCGCGAGCACAGUGCCUCCCCGGGACUCGUCCAGCCCUGGACACAGCCCCAUCGUGCCUGCUGCUCAGUGCAGUGCUCAGCACCCAGGGGCGCCGUCCACCGGGCAGACCCCUCUGGUGAAGCCUGGCCCCAGGGCUGUCCCUCUGGGCCACAGCAGCGGCCGACCACUGACUUCUUGGAGAAAAGCUCUGUAGCUGGU